UGUAGGCGCAGAGACAUUUGGAAUCAAUGAGAAGACAGGCAUCUGUAACUCACUCAAAAAUAAUAAGUAAACAAUCAGAACCUCCAUUUAAACUGGAGUGAAGUGGAAGAAUUGAAUAGGGUGCUAGAGAAACAAUUGAGAAAAGAGGGGAGAGCAUCCAGGUGGAGUCAGUGAAGACGUCGUCCAUGAAGUUCUUUCUAUGUGGUUCACGUCAUGAACAAAUUUGUUUUUGUGUGUGUUCAAGUUCAACUGUUCUAAUAUAUUAUUUUAUAAAAUAUACACAAUCUUAAAUCUACC
Molecule: long non-coding RNA, 297 nt
Organism: Onychostoma macrolepis
Lineage: Eukaryota; Metazoa; Chordata; Actinopteri; Cypriniformes; Cyprinidae
Exons: 3
Source: RefSeq, a predicted model, not a curated record